This 5211-nucleotide long non-coding RNA is filed under the name Sus scrofa (pig). RNAcentral's name for it is "lncRNA (ENSSSCG00000060310.1)". The record is from RNAcentral. Lineage: Eukaryota; Metazoa; Chordata; Mammalia; Artiodactyla; Suidae.
UCUCUCAGAUGGUAUAUAAGCUUCGACUGCCAGACUCAUCCCUGAGUUCAUAUUCUUAUAGAGCCCCCACACAACAUAAUUAAAUUUGAUUUUUCUCCUGUUAACCUGUCUCAUGUCAAUUGAAUUCUGGGACCAGCCAGAAGAUCCUAGAAGAGCAGAGGGGUUUUUUCCUCCCCCACAGCAAGCACUUUGAAAAUGGGAUGGACAGUAAAAUAAAAGAGAGGAAGCACUAGAGCAAUAGAAUACUUUUCCCAAGACCAUGGAAAGGCUUUGGUGCUUCUCACGAAGUACACCUACAAUACAGAAAAAAGGUAAUGGGGAGAGUUACUCAAAGGUAAGGAGGAGACACCAAGGCUAUGACAACUUGCCAAAGUCACCAAUUCACUCCUUGAACUAAAACCUAGCCAGCAAGGGAAAGAACAGUGAGCAGGAAGACCCCAGGGAUUGACAUGCAAAUAAGCACUCUAGGCAACUCACACUGAAUUCUGCACUGGGAGGAAUGCUUAGGGUGCUCAUUUGCAUGUUGGUUACCAGAGGUUUCUUUCAAUUCACAGCCAUUUUAAAACACUCCCUGUCAGAGCCUGGGAACAACUAAAGGGACUGAACAAAGGUGAACUAGCAAAGAGUUCUCUGCCAUAACCCACAGGAGACAAUGUGCCUUCUCUUGGGCACCAAAAUAUUCUUUUUACAUGUUUAUCACACGAACAGCGCAGAGCCUACGACUACUGUGCGUAUUUCUUGUUAAAGAAAAGAUCUCUGACCAGGUUGACCUGGUUUCUGCCUUAAUCUCUAGAUUCUGAUGUUAUGGAACCUCCAACGGAGUUCCUCUUCUCAGCGAGAGUAAUAUCUCACUCUUCUGUUCCUGUAUCUGCUUCCUAUUUAUAAAGGGUGCACUUGGAGGAAGGCAAUGAAUGUUUCUUUCUUUAAUCUACAGCAAUAUUUACUGCUUCGGGGGAGUUCAGGUCUUGUCCUUUGGCAAGCUCACAGCUCUCAACUGAAACAGGCAAAGCAAACGCAUUUUCUCUCCUUCAUGUGAAAAAGGCUGUGGUUAACAGGACUCUGUUGCUGACAAGUGUAGCCAUUUUAAUUGUUUUAAAACAGAUAAACAAAUAAAAAUCAACAAAAAAAGAUAAUCUUAAAGUCAGGAGUCCACUCUAGAAAUUGCUUUCUUACGGUGUCUGUGCAAUCAGUACAAUUCGGCUUCCAUCGUCGUUGUUUUUUAGGUGCCUAUGAAGUACUAGUUGUGGUUCAGAGUGUCUAUCUCUGUCCUUGAGUCACCAACAUUUACCAGAAAAAAGAUACAAAGCAGUCUCUACAAUAAUGUACAUCCAACUCUUUCUAAAUCUCAUAAGUGGAUAUAAUAUUCUCCUUAAGGAUAGAGUACCAGGAGGGCUGUAGGUUGUAUGAUGGUGAAUAGAGAUCCGAUUCAGGAUAAUGUGCUUAUAAAUAGGAUGGAACAGAGGCAAUGAUAAUACCUCUUUUCUUUGGACUAAGAGAAUUCUUUAUAAUGAUGGCCAGAUGUUGGCAAUGAAUACAAAUAUACUAGGAGAGCCCCCGAUUGUUUCUGUCUCUUGUGUAUGUACAAGGCUAGUUCUUCCAAAAUGUGGUUGUGAGUGUGGAAUAAUUAUUUUAGAUAUGCUGGUGUGGUGUAUGUCGUCAGUCUCAGUCACAAAGCUCAUUUCAACCUGGAUCUAUUACCAACUAUACUCAUAGACGCCUCUGCAGUUAAUUCCAGCCACUUUUCCUAGUGACGCUCAAAAGGCAACAACGGUGUGGUCUCUCAACCUCACCAUCAAGGACUGUGCAGAGAAAAAUACAUAAAAGUGGUUCAGUAGAUCAGAUGGUGAUGAUUUUUUGUGCACAAUAAACUGCAAAUAGUACCCUCCCGAGGGAAUGCUUCCCUGUGUAUCUAUUGCUUUUAAUCUCACCUAACUUCUUUUAGUAUACUAGCUCUGCAUCAUACAGGAGCAAUGCAAACAUUUUUUUUUUUAGCAUGCAAACAGCAGUAAAUCACAUCUUUCACUUCUGUAGCUCAAUGCAAAUAUUUAACAUUUAUCUCAUGUUUCUUAUUAUCUAAGCACCUUACAUUACACUAGAGAAAGAUUUUAUUUUACUCAUUAAUGAGAAUCAAGAUACAAAGAAAAAAAUAACUUUGACUGUGCAUAAGGUCUUGACUCAGUUGAAGUCUAAAUUCAGAAUUUCUAAAGCACAUUCUUCUCAUAAAUGUAGGUGUAGCCUGUAGAACUCUCGGCCAGGGAAAGCCAUAGAAUGAGUACAGCCUACAUAGUGGAAAUGUGUACCUUGUAAAUGUCUUAUCAUUAUCUUUUCCCAGAAAUUAUUUGCUUCUAUAUUCUUCACAAAAUGGCCUGAAUAGAAUAACUAAUGGCAUAAUUACUUCAGAUCUUUGAAAUAGUUGAAGAGAAUCUGAUGAAUGGAUUAAAAAUUCUGUCCUUUUCAUGAGUAUAUUACUGUAAUUUGGUUAUAUGUGGAGUUUUUGUUGAGCACUAUUAAUCAUUCUUAAAUGCUAAGACAGAAAAUUUAGAUAGUUUUUUAAAGCUAUCCCUUAAUGUUUGCCAGGCCAUAAAAACUACUAAAAUAUCAGACUUUAAAACAAAAUUGACAGUAAUUAGAAUAAGUAUGUAUUUAGAUUAAAAAAAACAACCAAAUUUCCAUAAAGCUAGUAUUUUAAAAUACUUUACUAAAUAUCCACAUACUGAGUUAUUUGAAAUUAUAUGUCUUGCAGAGUUCCCAUUGUAGUGCGAUGGAAACAAAUCCAACUAGUAUCCAUGAGGGUGUGGGUUCAAUCCCUGGCCUCGGUCAGUGGGUUAAGGAUCUGGUGUUGCUGUGAGCUGUGAUGUAGGUCACAGAUAUGGCUGGGAUCCUGAGUUGCUCUGGCUGUGGUGUAGGCUGGUGCUAUAGCUCCCAUUCGACCCCUAGCCUGGAAACUUCCAUAUGCCUCGGCUGAGGCCCUAAAAAAAAAGAAAAAGAAAUUAUAUGUCUUGGAGGCCAGUUGUUUAUCUAAGAUAAAAUCCUAUUCUAAGAUGCUAACCAUUUAAUUUUAGUAUCAAAUCAAAUCCUUUUUUAAGGCCAAGUCCUGUCCAAAGCCACUGUGAUUUCAAACUCGAGAGAGAAAUCAAUCCCAAUCAAAACCUGCACUGUUCUACAAAAUCUUAUCUUGUAGAAAAUACAUAUUAAGUUUUACAGGUUGAUCAGAAAGUGAUGUGUUUAUGAAAGACGUGGUAUAAACACCCAACAAAAAGAAACAAAAAGAUGGGGUUUACUAUCACAUAUCGUAUAAGUGGCUUUUUAUUUUCUGAUUCAAAAAUUUAGACACGUUUAAGUUCAACUUUGACUAAAACAACAUAAUGAUCUUCUCUGCUUUUAUUUUGGGUCCCCCUCAUUGCCAAUCUUUCUAGAUGUAACAAGAAAUAGGAUUUUACAGACAAAUCAUGAAAUUACAGGGCAACAGAAGAAAUAAGAUGGUUGUGAAGCCCAGCGAAAGGAUCAGAGUUGAACAGCACGAAGCAACUGAGUAAGGAGAGAAAGAAAGAGAAUUGAACAAAAGGACAUGUAUUAAUCAGAGCACAUUUAGAAAUGUGAAUUUACUAGUCUAAAUAAAGAAGGGUCUCAUGGGUUCCAGAAAAUGAAAUCCAACCUCACGCAGGGCUGGAAGUUGGAAUGGACACUGAGGACCAAGAAUGCUCUGCAUCUCUCAGAACCCCAGGGCUUCCCUCCACUCAGCCUUUCUGCCCCGGCCUCUAGCUUCUCUUCAAAACUAUUGUUUCUUUCCUGUUAUCAUUGAUAGGCAGGAGGUUCUGGUCCUCCAUGGUACAGAUUCUCACCUAGCUCUAUAAAGAGUAUCUCAAUAUGCAAUGGUGCCUCCAUUCUGACUGACCCAGCUCCCAAGCCUCCACCCUUUUCAGUCCACUCUGGUCAAGGGGCAGAAUCAAAUGGUAAUAAGGGUGCUCCUUCUUUUUUAUUCCUAUUUAUUUAUUUAUUUAUUUGUGUCUUUUUAGGGCUGCACCCACUGCAUAUAGAGGUUGAAUCGGAGCUGUAGCCACUGGCCUACACUACACACCACAGCCACAGCUAUGCAGGAUCUGAGCCACGUCUGCAACCUACACCACAGCUCAUGGCAACACCAGAUCCUUAACCCACUGAGUGAGGCCAGGGAUCAAACCUGUGUCCGCAUGGAACUAGUCGGAUUCGUUUCCGCUGAGCCACGAUGGGAACUCCAAGGAUGUCCCUUCUUGAUUACAACCCCUGAGCAUUUAUAUGGAAACAUGCAUUUGUUUGUCAGGCCUUAAUUGCUGUGUUGGAAAGCUGAAUUUGAGACCAGGCAGGGAAAAGUGAAGACGAGGAGACUGAUGUUACAAAGUAAUGAAAUACAUUUCUGCAAAAAAUAAAAGAUGGGAGUCUUUGGAGAAUGGCCACAGUGAUAUAGAACAGAACAUUAUCCACAGCUUUGCCUUUCACCUAUUACAGAAAUGGAAAAGAAGGCCAACGAUCAUGCCUUGAAAACUGUAAUCCCAAUAUGCUAUUUUAAAGAAAUUACUAUUUACAAAACGCCACAAUAAAAUAAAUAAUAGUAUUUCUAUUUCUAAAUGAUUAAAUAUGGGUCAGAAAGAAGGCAUUCAUAAUGAAUAUUCAUAGAUCACAAACCAAUCUGUUGUUAGGUAUAAAAACAGAACUCAGAGUCUGAGUCUCUAAUCUCUUCCAGGUUACUAUAUUUAAUGUACUUCUGAAAAUGAGUCAAUCUCUCCCACAUUUGUGAUACAGAAUUCCUUAAAUGUAAAAAGAAAUAGAGCUCUUCCUAAAUAACAAAAUUAGUAAACCUUGAGAGUUUAAAACACCUUUAUUUAGUAUAUUACGUAUAUAUUUACCAAACCAAGAGUACCUUUAUGUCUUUGUUUCACCCAGCCUUCACUCAGUGCUCAAACUGUUGACAAUUCUUCAUCCUAAUAGUUUCAAUAGUUUUCAAUGUGCUUUAAGCACGAAGAAAUUAAUAGGCAGAGGAGUUCCCGUUGUGGCUCAGCAGGUUAAGGACCUGAUGUUGUCUCUAUAAGGAUGUGGGUUUUAUCCCUGGCCUCGCUCAGUGGGUUACGGAUCUGGUGUUGCCAUAAACUGUGGCACAGAUCACAGAUGCUACUCAGAUCCAGUGUUGCAUGGCUCUGGCGCAAACCUGGGAACCCCUGGCCUGAGAACUUCCAA